CAGAAGAUCAUAAUCAUCACAUCGCUUGUAAUAGUUGUGUUGCUCUUGACAAUCUUGAUGAUACAUUGUGCCACAAGACUAAACAACACAAGGGAAAAACAGAAGAUCCGUAGUGCACCCAGAACACCUGCAAAGGAGACAGGCUUACACCAAGACCUAGGCAAGAAGGCCUCUGUGAGCCUGCACACACCCACAGACCAGCACGUUGUUUAUCAAAAUGAGGAGCAGACACCAGGCAGCUCACUUCACAAAAGGCAGAAGAGAAAUCCAAGAAAGCAAAAGAAUCACAGGGGCUUGUUUCCAGAGGAAGCUGAAAACCUGAACAGCAACUUCCAAACUGCAUUUGAGAGUGGAUCUGCUGGGUUAUCCAUGAAGGAGCUUGGCUGCUCACCCAUGAAUGAGGACAGUGAGGCAAAGGCAGGUGAUGGAGUCCAAGGAACACCCCACCACACCUGCUCCCCAGCCCAGCAGAUGAAGGAGAGACAUCAGCCAUCUCCACAAAGAGGAGCACAGGGGCCCAAGGGCAGAUGGGGGAUCCCGACUAAGGACUCAGAGGAAGGAGCAGCUUGCCCAAGCCUCUCCCAGUGAUGUCUCAGAAGAUUCUAAGCCAUGGGGUCUGUGUGGGAAACCCAUCUAGAUGAGUCCAUCAGUAGAACAUCUUUUGAACUGAGGGGCAUCGCUGCCUAAAAUAAAAGGGUACGAACACAUCAUGCCAUGCAAAAGAAGUGCACUUUGGGAUAGUACUGGACUGUUAUGCAAUGCUUUGGGAGGAGACAAAGGUGAGAAAGGGGAGGAAUCAAAGGGAUCUGGGAAUAAAAAGAGAGGGAAAAUGGAUGGAUAAAGGAAUAAAAGGAUAUAUAGGAGGCUGGUCAGUACAUUUGUCUGGGCAUGCCCAGCACCUGUUCACCAUGGUGUGUCCCAGCUCCCAGAUAAAUUCCAUUUCUGACUCUUUUCCCGGGUGAGGGAUGCCCUAGCUGGUGUGCAUACGUGUACGGGGGACUGGUGCCAGCAGCUGGGCCAGAACCACAGGCCACAUGUGCCUGGGUGCUGGCAACUGGGGAGACCUGAGUGAGGGAAGCCAAGUGCCAGCCACCAGCCUGGACCAGGGUCAGAGCCUCUGUCCCUGCUGCAGCACCUGAAGCAGGCAUGUGUGGAAAUGCCUGUGUGCAACAGCAAGAAUCAAGCCAGGCAAGCUAGUGAGUAGGUGACAUGUCCCAGGAUGCUCUUUGAUGUCUCACAAGAAAUCAGGCAGAAGGAUCUAUGCUGUGAACGUGGCAAGACCCACAGAACUAUAUCAAGACCGGUAUUUGAAAAAAAAAAAAGUUACAUUUUUAAGGGCUUGAGCUGGAAAAGUUCCCCCCAGCUCUCUGUGUUGUUAUAUGAUGUGUGUUAGAGAUGUGCUUCCAGUGUAUUUUUGUAAAGGCCCCCCAAAGAAGCUUGUGUUGAGUGCAGCUUCAGCACAGAGCACUGUCUUUGGUAGCCACAGAGUACCCUCUAGUGGGAGAGAUCACCAGUGGAAGGGAAAGAGCCUCCAGUGAGUCUUUCAUUAAAACAGUAACUCACUAGUACUGUGUUUUCUAUCUUUUGACUUUCAAAUACCCUUUGGGUAUCCAACAACCUCAUCCCAGCUAUCAAGAAGUUACAACAAUCGUAUCCAAAGUUGUUCCAUGAUUAAAUGAUUCUAUGAGCACUUUCCUGCAGUAGAGACUGACUGUGGUUGCUGAUUGAAAUGGACUGACAGAAAGA
Pseudopipra pipra is the source of this 1746-nucleotide long non-coding RNA. RefSeq lists it as uncharacterized. The record is from RefSeq and is a predicted model, not a curated record. The transcript has 3 exons. Lineage: Eukaryota; Metazoa; Chordata; Aves; Passeriformes; Pipridae.